This 372-nucleotide ribosomal RNA is filed under the name Backeljaia gigaxii. RNAcentral describes it as "partial 16S ribosomal RNA". It matches the Rfam family "Bacterial large subunit ribosomal RNA", at positions 1809 to 2531 of the family's 2925-position model. The record is from RNAcentral. Lineage: Eukaryota; Metazoa; Mollusca; Gastropoda; Stylommatophora; Geomitridae.
AAAAACAUGGCUUAAUGUUACUAUAUUAAGUUAUUUCUGCUCAAUGAAAUAUUAAAUAGCCGCAGUACUCUGACUGUGCAAAGGUAGCAUAAUCAUUUGGCUUAUAAUUGAAGUCUGGCAUGAAUGAAAUAAUGGGGAGUUACUGUCUUUUUGGGUUUUCAAGAACUUACUUAACAAGUGAAAAUACUUGUAAAUAAAUAAUAGACGAGAAGACCCUAGAAAUUUUUUUAAUAUUGGUUUUAUAUCUAAUUAAUUUUGCUGGGGCGGCAGAAUAACAUUAAACUUAUUUUAAUAAAUUUGAACUAUCUACUGAGUAAAAGUAAAUUACUCUAGGGAUAACAGCAUAAUUUUACAAAGUUUGUGACCUCGAUG